Molecule: ribosomal RNA, 494 nt
Filed under: uncultured bacterium
Lineage: Bacteria
Description: partial 16S ribosomal RNA
Rfam family: Bacterial small subunit ribosomal RNA
Source: RNAcentral
GACGAACGCUGGCGGCGUGCUUAACACAUGCAAGUCGAACGGUGAAGCGCCUUCCUUUUUGGUGGGUGUGGAUGAGUGGCGAACGGGUGAGUAACACGUGAGUAACCUGCCCCCUUCUUCUGGAUAACCGCAUGAAAGUGUGGCUAAUACGGGAUAUUCUGGGUCUGUCGCAUGAUGGGUCUGGGAAAGAUAUUGUUUCGGUUGGGGAUGGGCUCGCGGCCUAUCAGCUUGUUGGUGGGGUGAUGGCCUACCAAGGCGGUGACGGGUAGCCGGCCUGAGAGGGUGGACGGUCACACUGGGACUGAGACACGGCCCAGACUCCUAGGGGAGGCAGCAGUGAGGAAUAUUGCACAAUGGGAGCAAGCCUGAUGCAGCGACGCCGCGUGAGGGAUGGAGGCCUUCGGGUUGUGAACCUCUUUCGCCAGUGAAGCAGGCCUGCCUCGUUUGUGGGUGGGUUGACGGUAGCUGGAUAAGAAGCGCCGGCUAACUACGUG